GAUGAACGCUGGCGGCGUGCCUAAUACAUGCAAGUCGAGCGAACAGACGAGGAGCUUGCUCCUCUGACGUUAGCGGCGGUCGGGUGAGUCACACGUGUAUAACCUACCUAUACGACUGGGAUACCUUCGGGAAACCGGAGCUAAUACCCGAUAAUAUAUUGAACCUCAUGGUUCACUAGUGAAAGACGGUUUUGCUGUCACUUAUAGAUGGCUACGCGCAGCAUUAGCUAGUUGGUAAGGGAACGGCUUACCAAGGCAACGAUGCAUAGCCGACCUGAGCGGGUGAUCGGCCACACUGUGACUGAGACAGGGUCCAGACACCGACGGGAGGCAGCAGUAGGGAAUCUUCCGCAAUGGGCGAAAGCCUGACGGAGCAACGCCGCGGGAGGGAUGAAGGUCUUCGGAUCGGAAAGCUCUGUUAGUAGGGAAGAACAAAUGUGUAAGUAACUAUGCACGUCUUGACGGUACCGGAUCAGAAAGCUACGGCUAACUACGUG
Molecule: ribosomal RNA, 497 nt
Filed under: uncultured bacterium
Lineage: Bacteria
Description: partial 16S ribosomal RNA
Rfam family: Bacterial small subunit ribosomal RNA
Source: RNAcentral